GGCGCGAUGGCCGAGUAGCUAGGCAGAGGUCUGCAAAACCUUGUACACCGGUGCGAUUCCGGUUCGCGCCUCCA
This 74-nucleotide transfer RNA is filed under the name Candidatus Omnitrophota bacterium. RNAcentral describes it as "Candidatus Omnitrophica bacterium (aquatic metagenome) tRNA-Cys". It matches the Rfam family "tRNA". Rfam says of the family: Transfer RNA (tRNA) molecules are approximately 80 nucleotides in length. Lineage: Bacteria; Pseudomonadati; Candidatus Omnitrophota. The record is from RNAcentral.